CAGUCGCCGCGGGAAUACAGAGGGUGCGAGCGUUAAUCGGAUUUACUGGGCGUAAAGCGUGCGUAGGCGGCUUCUUAAGUCGGAUGUGAAAUCCCUGAGCUUAACUUAGGAAUUGCAUUCGAUACUGGGAAGCUAGAGUAUGGGAGAGGAUGGUAGAAUUCCAGGUGUAGCGGUGAAAUGCGUAGAGAUCUGGAGGAAUACCGAUGGCGAAGGCAGCCAUCUGGCCUAAUACUGACGCUGAGGUACGAAAGCAUGGGGAGCAAACAGGAUUAGUACCCGUGUAGUCCCUGUCUCUUAUACA
RNAcentral lists this ribosomal RNA (301 nucleotides) under uncultured bacterium. RNAcentral describes it as "partial 16S ribosomal RNA". It matches the Rfam family "Bacterial small subunit ribosomal RNA", at positions 509 to 808 of the family's 1533-position model. The record is from RNAcentral.